Leopardus geoffroyi (Geoffroy's cat) is the source of this 705-nucleotide long non-coding RNA. RefSeq lists it as uncharacterized. The record is from RefSeq and is a predicted model, not a curated record. NCBI's taxonomy places the organism in Eukaryota, Metazoa, Chordata, Mammalia, Carnivora, Felidae. The transcript has 5 exons.
UGAUGUAUUGCAAGACAUAAUUUGUUUAUCAAGUUAAAAUGUAUUAUAAAUGUUUGAUUAUCGUGCAGAACACUUGCUGAACAAGUUACUCACAAUCCAAGGUUUUACUGUAUUGUAAGCAACAACAUGGACAAUAUGUGCAACUAAAAGAUCCAUCAGUAGAGAUCUCUGAGAAGAUACACAAGGAUAUUCACCAUUUGGCCAUUAUCUGCCUGCAGAUCCAUGGUUCUACUAGAUCUCUUCCAAAAUGAGGUGAGGAAACUGAGGCAUAAAGAAGUUGAGUAACAUACCCAACCUCAUGGAUCUGAUUUCAACCUGAAAGCUUUUGAAAUGUACUUCUGUGUGGAGUGAGGGAAGGCAAAGAGAAAGCCUCAGUUUCUUAAUCUGCAAAAUGAGUCCACUGUUGAAACAACCUUGAAGAUUUAAUGGAGGGGAAAAUCCAUAUGUAAAGCACACCUGGAGGUAACUACGAAAAGAUAAGUGCUCAAUGAACGUGGACUAUACAUUUUUAAGCUGGAAUGUACUUAGGAUGUCAUUCAAUCCAGGCCCCUCUUUCAGAAUUUGAAAACAGAGCCACAGAGAAGCUGAAGGAGUCCCCCUUGGUUACACAGCUAGUGGCACAAUCAGGGCCGAAAACCCAGGGUGUCCGGAUUCCCUUGCCUCUGUAUUGUCCCUUCACUACCACACCCUGCUGUGACGUGCAAC